UGGAGCAAUCCAUGAGUAGAGUGGCAAACGGGUGAGUAACACGUGGGUGACCUGCCUUCGAGUGGGGGAUAACGUCCCGAAAGGGACGCUAAUACCGCAUAACAUGCUGUCUUUUAAGAGAGAGACAUCAAAGCCGGGGACCGCAAGGCCUGGCGCUUGAAGAGGGGCCCGCGCCUGAUUAGCUAGUUGGUGGGGUAAUGGCUCACCAAGGCAACGAUCAGUAUCCGGCCUGAGAGGGCGGACGGACACACUGGGACUGAGACACGGCCCAGACUCCUACGGGAGGCAGCAGUGGGGAAUUGUUCGCAAUGGGCGCAAGCCUGACGACGCAACGCCGCGUGGAGGAUGAAGACCUUCGGG
RNAcentral lists this ribosomal RNA (360 nucleotides) under uncultured bacterium. Its description in RNAcentral is "bacterial SSU rRNA". It matches the Rfam family "Bacterial small subunit ribosomal RNA", at positions 75 to 422 of the family's 1533-position model. The record is from RNAcentral.